Molecule: long non-coding RNA, 362 nt
Filed under: Gossypium raimondii (Peruvian cotton)
Lineage: Eukaryota; Viridiplantae; Streptophyta; Magnoliopsida; Malvales; Malvaceae
Description: long non-coding RNA (GRAI_LNC008995)
Source: RNAcentral
UUUAAGAAACACUUGCAAAAUCCUAAACUAUACCCCCUACACUUACCAAGCCGCACGCCAACACCGAAAAACCAGAAUACCAAAAUUGAAUAACAAAAUUGUGACAGAAAAUAGAGAGCGAAGAAAUAAGAAUUUUUCAAUUGACAGGAAAUAUGCAGAGGAAGGGAAACUACAUCAGAUUUCUUAAGAAGAGAGAGAGAAAAAAGAAAAAAUACAAAAAGAAUUAAAAUUAAAAUAAAUUCCUAUCCUACUAAAUCUCAACCCCCCUUUAUCCUACUAACUAACCCACUAACUAUCAACCACCUCUGAACUCUAACUCUACCCAAACUCUCUCAGACAACCCGAGCAAAAAUUUAUCACCC